AGUGAACGCUGGCGGUAGGCCUAACACAUGCAAGUCGAACGGCAGCACAGUAAGAGCUUGCUCUUACGGGUUGCGAGUGGCGGACGGGUGAGGAAUACAUCGUAAUCUACUUUUUCGUGGGGGAUAACGUAGGGAAACUUACGCUAAUACCGCAUACGACCUACGGGUGAAAGCAGGGGAUCUUCGGACCUUGCGCGAUUGAAUGAGCCGAUGUCGGAUUAGCUAGUUGGCGGGGUAAAGGCCCACCAAGGCGACGAUCCGUAGCUGGUCUGAGAGGAUGAUCAGCCAAACUGGAACUGAGACACGGUCCAGACUCCUACGGGAGGCAGCAGUGGGGAAUAUUGGACAAUGGGCGAAAGCCUGAUCCAGACAUACCGCGUGGGUGAAGAAGGCCUUCGGGUUGUAAAGCCCUUUUGUUGGGAAAGAAAAGCAGCAGGUUAAUACCCCGCUGUUCUGACGGUACCCAAAGAAUAAGCACCGGCUAACUUCGUG
This 492-nucleotide ribosomal RNA is filed under the name uncultured bacterium. Its description in RNAcentral is "partial 16S ribosomal RNA". It matches the Rfam family "Bacterial small subunit ribosomal RNA", at positions 29 to 507 of the family's 1533-position model. The record is from RNAcentral.